GUGAGGAAUAUUGCGCAAUGGCCGAAAGGCUGACGCAGCGACGCCGCGUGGAGGAUGAAGUCCGUUAGGAUGUAAACUCCUUUUGCAGGGGAUGAAUAUGGCGCUACAGGCGCCAUUGACCGUACCCUGCGAAUAAGGGUCGGCCAACUACGUGCCAGCAGCCGCGGUAAUACGUAGGACCCGAGCGUUGUCCGGAUUUACUGGGUGUAAAGGGCGUGUAGGUGGGUUCCUAAGUCGGUGGUGAAAUCCUGCGGCUCAACCGCAGAAUCGCCUCCGAUACUGGGGAUCUUGAGUGCGGCAGAGGGAGAUGGAAUUCAUGGUGUAGCGGUGAAAUGUGUAGAUAUCAUGAAGAACACCGGUAGCGAAGGCGGUCUCCUGGUCCGCAACUGACACUGAGGCGCGAAAGCGUGGGGAGCAAACAGGAUUAGAAACCCCAGUAGUCC
RNAcentral lists this ribosomal RNA (443 nucleotides) under uncultured bacterium. RNAcentral describes it as "bacterial SSU rRNA". It matches the Rfam family "Bacterial small subunit ribosomal RNA", at positions 354 to 796 of the family's 1533-position model. The record is from RNAcentral.